RNAcentral lists this long non-coding RNA (91 nucleotides) under Fukomys damarensis (Damara mole-rat). RNAcentral's name for it is "lncRNA (ENSFDAG00000033404.1)". The record is from RNAcentral. Lineage: Eukaryota; Metazoa; Chordata; Mammalia; Rodentia; Bathyergidae.
CUGGUGUGAACACCAGGACAGGGGAACCAGCCUGCCUGCGACUCACCAUGAGGCCGGCUGGUGGUCAAGUCUACUGAGGCUGUGGCUGGAG